AUUGAACGCUGGCGGCAGGCCUAACACAUGCAAGUCGAGCGGAUGAAGGGAGCUUGCUCCUGGAUUCAGCGGCGGACGGGUGAGUAAUGCCUAGGAAUCUGCCUGGUAGUGGGGGAUAACGUCCGGAAACGGGCGCUAAUACCGCAUACGUCCUGCGGGAGCAAGUGGGGGAUCUUCGGACCUCACGCUAUCAGAUGAGCCUAGGUCGGAUUAGCUAGUUGGUGGGGUAAAGGCCUACCAAGGCGACGAUUCGUAACUGGUCUGAGAGGAUGAUCAGUCACACUGGAACUGAGACACGGUCCUGACGCCUACGGGAGGCAGCAGUGGGGAAUAUUGGACAAUGGGCGAAAGCCUGAUCCAGCCAUGCCGCGUGUGUGAAGAAGGUCUUCGGAGUGUAAAGCACUUUAAGUUGGGAGGAAGGGCAGUAAGUUAAUACCUUGCUGUUUUGACGUUACCAACAGAAUAAGCACCGGCUAACUUCGUG
RNAcentral lists this ribosomal RNA (484 nucleotides) under uncultured bacterium. RNAcentral's name for it is "partial 16S ribosomal RNA". It matches the Rfam family "Bacterial small subunit ribosomal RNA", at positions 30 to 507 of the family's 1533-position model. The record is from RNAcentral.